GCAUCAGUAGCUCAGCAUC
Molecule: transfer RNA, 19 nt
Filed under: Malpulutta kretseri (spotted gourami)
Lineage: Eukaryota; Metazoa; Chordata; Actinopteri; Anabantiformes; Osphronemidae
Description: partial tRNA-Thr
Source: RNAcentral